UAGCCUAACGGCUGAACCAGCAACUUGGAAGAAGGUAUAGCAAUAGCUAAUUGUAUUAGCAAAUAGUUUUUACAAUAUCGAUUUAAUCGACUAAAAUUCUAGGUAGAUUUAUGAUGAUGACAUUAUCUAUCUAUGUGUCUUGACCAAAUUUCGUGCCAGCAGUCGCGGUAAGACGUAAGAGACUAGUGUUAUUCAUCUUUAAUAGGUUUAAAGCGUACCUAGACGGUAAUUAAAGCCUAUAUCAGGAACUUGUUUACUAGAGUUAAAUGUAAGGGUGUAUUAAAGUACUGUUGAGUGUAGAGAUGAAAUUCGUUGAUACCAAAUAAUUGGCACAGGUAUAGGCGAAAGCAUCACUUUAUGUAAUAACUGACGUUGACGGACGAAGGCUUUGUGUCGCGAACAGGAUUAGAUACCCCAGUAGUCUUAGCAGAAAACUAUGAGUGUCAUAGGUUAGAUUUUAUUUGGUCUAUAAAUGAAAGUGUAAGCACUCCACCUCAAGAGUAAUUUGGCAACAUUGGAACUGAAAUCAUUAGACCGUUUCUGAAACCAGUAGUGAAGUAUGUUGUUUAAUUUGAUAAUCCGCAAAGAACCUUACCACAAUUUGAAUAUAAAUGAUUUAUUUUUACAAGCGUUGCACGGCUGUCUUCAGUUAAUGUCGUGAGAUAUUGGUUUAUUCCAUUAAAUUAACGUAAACCCGUACUUUAUUUUUAUAUAAAGUUGUUCAUUCGCUAUAAUGGAUGUGAUAACAGG
Molecule: ribosomal RNA, 750 nt
Filed under: Fuscopannaria confusa
Lineage: Eukaryota; Fungi; Ascomycota; Lecanoromycetes; Peltigerales; Pannariaceae
Description: SSU rRNA
Rfam family: Bacterial small subunit ribosomal RNA
Source: RNAcentral